RNAcentral lists this ribosomal RNA (598 nucleotides) under Actinomycetales bacterium HP55. Its description in RNAcentral is "bacterial SSU rRNA". It matches the Rfam family "Bacterial small subunit ribosomal RNA", at positions 60 to 675 of the family's 1533-position model. Lineage: Bacteria; Bacillati; Actinomycetota; Actinomycetes; Actinomycetales. The record is from RNAcentral.
AGUCGAGCGGUAAGGCCCUUCGGGGUACACGAGCGGCGAACGGGUGAGUAACACGUGGGUGAUCUGCCUCGCACUCUGGGAUAAGCCUGGGAAACCGGGUCUAAUACCGGAUACGACCUCCGGCUGCAUGGCUGGUGGUGGAAAGAUUUAUCGGUGUGAGAUGGGCCCGCGGCCUAUCAGCUUGUUGGUGGGGUAAUGGCCUACCAAGGCGACGACGGGUAGCCGGCCUGAGAGGGCGACCGGCCACACUGGGACUGAGACACGGCCCAGACUCCUACGGGAGGCAGCAGUGGGGAAUAUUGCACAAUGGGCGGAAGCCUGAUGCAGCGACGCCGCGUGAGGGAUGACGGCCUUCGGGUUGUAAACCUCUUUCGACUCCGACGAAGCGUAAGUGACGGUAGGGGUAGAAGAAGCACCGGCCAACUACGUGCCAGCAGCCGCGGUAAUACGUAGGGUGCGAGCGUUGUCCGGAAUUACUGGGCGUAAAGAGCUUGUAGGCGGUUUGUCGCGUCGUCUGUGAAAACUCACAGCUCAACUGUGAGCUUGCAGGCGAUACGGGCAGACUUGAGUACUGCAGGGGAGACUGGAAUUCCUGGUG